GACGAACGCUGGCGGCGUGCUUAACACAUGCAAGUCAAACGGUAAGGCCCUUCGGGGUACACGAGUGGCGAACGGGUGAGUAACACGUGGGUGAUCUGCCCUGCACUUCGGGAUAAGCCUGGGAAACUGGGUCUAAUACCGGAUAGGACCCUGGGAUGCAUGUCCUGGGGUGGAAAGCUUUUGCGGUGUGGGAUGGGCCCGCGGCCUAUCAGCUUGUUGGUGGGGUGAUGGCCUACCAAGGCGACGACGGGUAGCCGGCCUGAGAGGGUGACCGGCAACAGUGGGACUGGGAUACGGCCCAGACUCCUACGGGAGGCAGCAGUGGGGAAUAUUGCACAAUGGGCGCAAGCCUGAUGCAGCGACGCCGCGUGAGGGAUGACGGCCUUCGGGUUGUAAACCUCUUUCAGCACCGACGAAGCGCAAGUGACGGUAGGUGCAGAAGAAGGACCGGCCAACUACGUGCCAGCCGCCGCAGUAA
Molecule: ribosomal RNA, 478 nt
Filed under: uncultured bacterium
Lineage: Bacteria
Description: partial 16S ribosomal RNA
Rfam family: Bacterial small subunit ribosomal RNA
Source: RNAcentral